ACCGGAUAAGACAGCUGAUGAUAGCCGGGCUGAAGACUCUUGCUUGACUAGCUGAGAGGAGGUGCAUGGCCGUCGUCAGUUCGUACUGUGAAGCAUCCUGUUAAGUCAGGCAACGAGCGAGACCCACGCCAACAGUUGCCAGCAUGUCCUCCGGGAUGAUGGGGACACUGUUGGGACCGCCUCUGCUAAAGAGGAGGAAGGAAUGGGCAACGGUAGGUCAGCAUGCCCCGAAUUAUCCGGGCUACACGCGGGCUACAAUGGUCAGGACAAUGGGUAUCGACACCGAGAGGUGGAGGCAAUCUCCUAAACCUGUCCUUAGUUCGGAUUGUGGGCUGCAACUCGCCCACAUGAAGCUGGAAUCCGUAGUAAUCGCGUUUCAAAAUAGCGCGGUGAAUAUGUCCCUGCUCCUU
Molecule: ribosomal RNA, 410 nt
Filed under: uncultured Methanolinea sp.
Lineage: Archaea; Methanobacteriati; Methanobacteriota; Methanomicrobia; Methanomicrobiales; Methanoregulaceae
Description: bacterial SSU rRNA
Rfam family: Archaeal small subunit ribosomal RNA
Source: RNAcentral